RNAcentral lists this long non-coding RNA (3731 nucleotides) under Homo sapiens (human). Its description in RNAcentral is "HSALNT0091881". The record is from RNAcentral. Lineage: Eukaryota; Metazoa; Chordata; Mammalia; Primates; Hominidae.
UUGAAACAGAGUCUUGCUCUGUAGCCCAGGCUGGAGUCCAGUGGUGUGAGCAUGCCACGAUGCCUGGGGAUAAUAUUUUUUUUUAAUUUUGUGGACAGGAAUCUUGCUAUGCUCCUCAGGCUACUCUCAAUCUCAGUGCCUCAAGCAUUCCUCCUGCGAUGGCCUCCCCAAGUACUAGGAUUACAAGCAUGAGCCAUCUUGUCUGGCCCUCCAAUCACUUUUGAUUGCAGAAACUUCACUGGCAUUUAGAGUUAUACAUAAUCACAGAUAUAUGCAUGUGUACAUAUGCGCAUGGAUGUUCUUUACAGCACUGUUUGUAAUAUUGGGAAAAAGUGGAAAUAAUCUAUAUUGCCAUCGUUAAUAAAAAGGUUAAGAAAUCAUAUGAUUCUAUGGUAUAAACUACUAUGGAGCUUUUCUUCCUUACAUGAAAUAGUAUUCUAUGUACACAAUGAAAUUAUCUUUAAGACAUUUUGAAAAGUAUAAUGAAGCUAGCUGAAUAACAUGCAUAGUGUAGGAUUUCAUUUAUGUAAAAUGGCACACAACAUGCACCUGUGUGUAUGCACAUGUGUAUUUGAACAUAUAGAAACAUCUGUAGAAGUAAAUCUACCCCAUUUGAUAAUGAUUAUCUGAAAGAAAAGAGUGAGAUUAAAGGCAAUAAGGUAGAAGUGAGGAGACUUUUACUAUUCUACGGAUUCUUUUGAAAUUUUUUAAACUUCAAACAUUACUACAUUUAAUUUAAUUAUUAAAGGACAAUUUAAAAGUGAGAGCUAAAUACAGUAACUACCGUUAUUGGCAUUCAAAGAUAUGUUUUAAUAAAAGAUGAAACAAAUGUUUUGAACAAUGGGUAGAGCAGGUAAGAUCAAUCUCUCUGUAACAAAUACAAGCGUUUAUCGUUUUGUUGGAGUCAGAGCCAAAUCUCAAAUCUGACAUUUUAGUUAUUUCUUUAAUUUGAAUGUCUUGACUGCAGUAAAAGCUGCCUAGUUGUUUCUAGGAGGGAUGAGGAAAACUCAGAGACACUCCCUUUCCAUGUGCCUUAGAGCCCGGAGCCACAGGGAGGACACCCCCGGGCAGCUAGGGGUUUGAGAGCUUUUGUGUGCAGCUGCAAGAACUUAUGCCCACAAUUUCACUGUGUUCAGUCUGAAAGAACAGAGAGAGUCAUCAAAUCGCCUGAAUAGAGGGAACAUUUUCUAUUGAACCAUCUACUGGGCUAAAUUAAUUGAGCAAUGGAACAUGACAGUUCAAUAGGUGAGAUUAUCAAAAGAAAACUGCCCCCCUAGGGCAGGAGCCUCAGAUGGGUGCCUGAGCUUUUCCGAGAAAAGUGAUUGCUUCAUGAUAAAAAUAUAAUUGCCCCCUAUUGUUACAUUGCCCUUUAAUGAAUCCCAUCCAGCACCUAAAUAUGACAAAUAGGAAGGGAUAGUGUGCAAGAGGGUUGACAGUUACAUCUGAUGUUAAACCAUAUCAGGCUACGUGGCUUUGAAAAGUUGCCGGCCUUUGUCUUGUUAAAUCAAAGAAUCUUGUCUUGGGUGCUUCAGCUGGACUUUCAAUGUAAAACUUGAAAAAUGUUACAUCUUAUUUUAAAUGACCCAAAUAAGUUAAUCUCAGAAAAAAAAAAGGCUUUUUUUUUGUGAGAAAAACAUAAAAUAAUAAGUGAAAGGAGCUUUGUAAUUUAUUUAAUUAUUCCUUUAUUAGUUGGCCAAAAAAAUGUGAGUGAAGGAUUAGUUAUAAUGACAGCAUCCAUCAUUUAAGGGAAUCAAUGUUCUUAUUUGGUGCACAAAAUAUCUUAAUGUUCAAUGUUUAAACAGCUUAACUCUAAUUAGCUAGGAUGCUUCCAGCUAGAAGGAAUUGAACACUUAGCUCAAACUGGCUUAAACAACAAUGGCAUUUAUUUGUUCACAUGUCUGAAAGUCCAGGGGUAGGGCAAGCUUCAGGAUUGAUUUAAUCUUAUGUUUCCAGUGCUGUUUCAUUGUGAUUCUCUAGACCAACACCAUCCAAUAGAUCUUUCUCUAAUAAUAGAAAUGUUCUUUUUCAACACUAUCCAAUGUUAACCAUUAGCCACAUGUGGCACUGGAAAAGUGCAAGUGACUUUUAGAAACUAAUUUUUUAUAUUAUUUAAUUCUCAGUAAGUUAAGUUUAAAUUUAAUAACCACUUAGGGCUAGUACCUUCUGUAUUAGACAGUGCAACACUACACUGUUUCCCCCUUACAUACUGUGUGACAGCAUCACUCACAGGUUUAUAAUGUGUUGGCAGCAACCAAUCAAACAUGAAAUCAUUCAGAUCAAAACAAAAAAUAGCUAUGAAAGUUCACCCAGAAGAGCAAAUUCCUUCUUUUCACACUGCAUUGGCCAAAACUAGAUCAUAAGCCUAUUUCUGAACUGAUUACUUGCAAAAAGAUGAUAUAAUCAUUAGUCCUCUUGUGCCCAUUCCUGUAAUAGGAGGGGAGUUGGCUUCCUCUGGGAGGAAGGGCUGUGGGCUUCCUCUGGGGCCCAUAGGCAGGGUGAGAUGGAUGACAAAUAUUAGUGUUUGCAUGGGAGGAAGAAAAGGAUGCAGUGAGUGCAACUAACUACAUCCCUCCUUGCUCUUUAAAUUGCAGUUCGUACCAACUAGUCAAAAGUGAGCCAAAUAUCUGCACUUUGGUUCCUGCCACUACCUCAUAUCUAAUAUCCUCACUCUGCCAGUCUGCCAAAAAUUACUGGGAAAAACUUCUCCUUAUGAGAUUUCUGCUCAUAUCCUCAGUAGGGUUGCUAAAAGUGACCACAAUCUGCCCCUUUCCUAUCCCUCUAUGGAUCAACUAUAUUCCCUGACAUUCAAAAACCACUAAACUUUCACUUGAGUCUCAUAAAGCUCCUGCUCUUCUGUUUUGAUGUAGCCAUACUUAGAUUAUUGCAGUUUUCUACCAUGCUCCCUCUCAGUUAACAUAUUUCAAAUUUAUUAUAUUUCUUUAUAUGAAACUCCUUGCCACCAUCGUCACAAGACAUUUUCUCUUCCAAGAAAGCUUCCUAGACCCAUCCAAGUCUUAAGUUCGGCAUUCUGUUUUGUGCUUCUAUAGUGUUCCAAUCUUUCACUAUCUUAGCCCUUCUCAGACUCUUGUUUCCUUUAUUUGUUCGUGUUCGUCUUCCAUUGAACUGAAAGGUCUACAAUGUCAGGGAUUUGCUCUUAUUCACUUAAAUAUUGUUAAUGUAUAUCACACGUAUGUAGCAGGCAAUCAAUAGCUUUCUGACUUUAUAAAUGAUACAUGCUGAAUAGAUGAAUUGGUUAAUAAGUGAAUAGGGUUGCCAGUCUAUAUCUAAUAUAUCACAUCAUAUAAUACAUAUAUUUGUAACCCUAAAAAUUCCUACAUAUAUUUAUGACACAUAUAAAAUGCUUCAACUAGUAAUAUUUUCAUAGUCAAGUUCUUAACAUAUAUUAUUUUCUAAAUUAAAGAUGUGCUGCUAACUUAGUUCCCAGAUUUUGAUUCACCAACAUUGGCAAGACUCUCCUGAUUCAGAAACUUCAUAGUUGAUCUUUUGGGAAUCUACAGAAUUUCAUUUUCAGCAUCUGUAUGCAACGCAGUAUAAGUCUUUAUUUCCAAAUAGAUCAUCUCAUUUAAAAGGCUGGAAGUCCUUUGGGAAGUAGAUAAACCAUUGGAGCAGACCCAUCUUGCUGUUGUGUUUUCAAAACUUCUGUUCAUCUCCUACAAGCAGCUCAGUCCUCAGGGCAAGCCUCCUCCAAUCCUUGGCCUCGAAGAAGACAA